UAAGCUGAGGAAAAGAAACCAACCGGGAUUGCCUCAGUAACGGCGAGUGAAGCGGCAAGAGCUCAAAUUUGAAAUCUGGCCCCUCCGGGGUCCGAGUUGUAAUUUGCAGAGGAUGCUUCGGGUGCGGCCCCUGUCUAAGUGCCCUGGAACGGGCCGUCAGAGAGGGUGAGAAUCCCGUCUUGGGCAGGGUGCCCGUGCCCGUGUGAAGCUCCUUCGACGAGUCGAGUUGUUUGGGAAUGCAGCUCUAAAUGGGUGGUAAAUUUCAUCUAAAGCUAAAUACCGGCCGGAGACCGAUAGCGCACAAGUAGAGUGAUCGAAAGAUGAAAAGCACUUUGAAAAGAGAGUUAAACAGCACGUGAAAUUGUUGAAAGGGAAGCGCUUGCGACCAGACUCGGCCCCGGGGUUCAGCCAGCACUCGUGCUGGUGUACUUCCCCGGGGGCGGGCCAGCGUCGGUUUGGGCGGCCGGUCAAAGGCCCCAGGAAUGUGUCGCCCUCCGGGGCGUCUUAUAGCCUGGGGUGCAAUGCGGCCAGCCCGGACCGAGGAACGCGCUUCGGCACGGACGCUGGCGUAAUGGUCGCAAACGACCCGUCUUGA
This 595-nucleotide ribosomal RNA is filed under the name Aspergillus ustus. RNAcentral describes it as "LSU rRNA". It matches the Rfam family "Eukaryotic large subunit ribosomal RNA", at positions 47 to 657 of the family's 3401-position model. Lineage: Eukaryota; Fungi; Ascomycota; Eurotiomycetes; Eurotiales; Aspergillaceae. The record is from RNAcentral.